AAGAAUAUAUCUAUACUACAAGUAACAGAUUCUUACUCUGUCGAAGAGCAUUGCUCUAUUCUUA
This 64-nucleotide transfer RNA is filed under the name Gyrodactylus derjavinoides. RNAcentral's name for it is "tRNA-Lys". Lineage: Eukaryota; Metazoa; Platyhelminthes; Monogenea; Gyrodactylidea; Gyrodactylidae. The record is from RNAcentral.